Paramuricea clavata is the source of this 752-nucleotide non-coding RNA. NCBI's taxonomy places the organism in Eukaryota, Metazoa, Cnidaria, Anthozoa, Malacalcyonacea, Plexauridae. The record is from the annotation of a GenBank genome assembly.
CCAGUUUUGCGGCAGGCGGAAUUUCCUAAGUACCGCGUGUCAUGCAGGCUAAUGAUGCAGCCGAGUAACUCGCCUUGGCGAGUUCCCGGCAGAAAGAGGCGGGAUCUCGUCCAGGCGGGAUGAAUAUUUUCCAUGUAAACACUUUGCCCGGGUAACUCGGCCGCCCGAGAUAGAAUGUAUGCGAUUUGUAUUUGAAAUACAAUAGCACAAAAAUACAUACGAACCAUUACAUAAGUUUUCCUGAAUUUCUCGGCGCUUAUUCUUGUAUAUUAACGACAUUUUGUAACGUUUUUUAACGUUUCAAACGACUAAAAUCCUUUUUGUAUUUUGGCGCCAUUUCGGCGUCAUGCGGCAAUCAUGCAGAAAUGCCGAGUAACUCGGUUGAACAGAUCAAACGCUUGUUUGUCCCACCUGGGCGAGUAACUCGCCUUGCCGAGUAACUCGCCUCCAUGUAAACAGGCCUAGAUGGUAGGAGGAUCAUAUGAGUAUGACGGAUGGCCUCAUGGCCACUUGUCACCGUCCUGUCCCUUCGUUACAAAAUCUCUAAUUACUUUAAAUUUUCUUAUAAAUGCGUAGUUAGCAGAUACGAAUAGCAAACUUAUCGUUAUUGUUGUUUUAAGCUUGUUACUCGGUACUGUUGGUGUAGCCACGAUAGAUAGAACUCGUUUAAGUUUUCAAAAAAUGUAAUUAAAAUAAUGGUUUACAAAAAAAUUAGUCAUAAAAAUAUAAAUUUUAAAGGUGAUCUACAGUCC